Molecule: ribosomal RNA, 161 nt
Filed under: uncultured bacterium
Lineage: Bacteria
Description: partial 16S ribosomal RNA
Source: RNAcentral
GCACAGAGUUAGCCGGUGCUUAUUCUGUCGGUAACGUCAAAACAGAUACGUAUUAGGUAACUGCCCUUCCUCCCAACUUAAAGUGCUUUACAAUCCGAAGACCUUCUUCACACACGCGGCAUGGCUGGAUCAGGCUUUCGCCCAUUGUCCAAUAUUCCCCA